This 252-nucleotide ribosomal RNA is filed under the name uncultured bacterium. Its description in RNAcentral is "partial 16S ribosomal RNA". It matches the Rfam family "Bacterial small subunit ribosomal RNA", at positions 524 to 776 of the family's 1533-position model. The record is from RNAcentral.
UACGGAGGAUGCGAGCGUUAUCCGGAUUUAUUGGGUUUAAAGGGUGCGCAGGCGGCGCGUCAAGUCAGCGGUAAAAUGUCGGGGCUCAACCCCGGCCGGCCGUUGAAACUGGCGUGCUCGAGUUGGAGAGAAGUAUGCGGAAUUCGUGGUGUAGCGGUGAAAUGCAUAGAUAUCACGAAGAACCCCGAUUGCGAAGGCAGCAUACCGGCUCCACACUGACGCUGAGGCACGAAAGCGUGGGUAUCGAACAGG